RNAcentral lists this ribosomal RNA (486 nucleotides) under uncultured bacterium. Its description in RNAcentral is "partial 16S ribosomal RNA". It matches the Rfam family "Bacterial small subunit ribosomal RNA", at positions 899 to 1397 of the family's 1533-position model. The record is from RNAcentral.
ACUCAAAUGAAUUGACGGGGGCCCGCACAAGCAGCGGAGCGUGUGGUUUAAUUCGAUGAUACACGAAGAACCUUACCAAGGUUUGACAUGCACGUGGUAGGGAAGCGAAAGCGGACCGACCCGCAAGGGAGCGUGCACAGGUGCUGCAUGGCUGUCGUCAGCUCGUGCCGUGAGGUGUUAGGUUAAGUCCUAUAACGAGCGCAGCCCCUACUGCCAGUUACACGUAUCUGGCGGGACUGCCGGUCAUAAGCCGGAGGAAGGUGGGGACGACGUCAAGUCAGCAUGGCCUUUAUAUCUUGGGCGACACACACGCUACAAUGGCCGGUACAACGGGUUGCCAACCCGCGAGGGGGAGCUAAUCCCACAAAACCGGCCUCAGUUCGGAUUGUAGGCUGCAACUCGCCUGCAUGAAGUUGGAGUUGCUAGUAAACGCGCGUCAGCCAUAGUGCGUUGAAUACGUUCCCGGGCCUUGUACACACCGCCCGU